CUACGGGUGGCUGCAGUGAGGAAUAUUGCACAAUGGGGGGAACCCUGAUGCAGCAACGCCGCGUGGAGGAUGACGCAUUUCGGUGUGUAAACUCCUUUUAUAUGUCAAGAAAAUGACGGUAGCAUAUGAAUAAGCACCGGCUAACUCCGUGCCAGCAGCCGCGGUAAUACGGAGGGUGCAAGCGUUACUCGGAAUCACUGGGCGUAAAGGACGCGUAGGCGGGUUGGAAAGUCAGGUGUGAAAUCCUACAGCUUAACUGUAGAACUGCACUUGAAACUUCUAAUCUAGAGUAUGGGAGGGGGAGAUGGAAUUAGUGGUGUAGGGGUAAAAUCCGUAGAUAUCACUAGGAAUACCUAAAGCGAAGGCGACCUCCUGGAACAUUACUGACGCUAAGGCGUGAAAGCGUGGGGAGCAAACAGGAUUAGAUACCCCUAGUAGUC
Molecule: ribosomal RNA, 440 nt
Filed under: uncultured bacterium
Lineage: Bacteria
Description: partial 16S ribosomal RNA
Rfam family: Bacterial small subunit ribosomal RNA
Source: RNAcentral